Molecule: ribosomal RNA, 235 nt
Filed under: uncultured bacterium
Lineage: Bacteria
Description: partial 16S ribosomal RNA
Rfam family: Bacterial small subunit ribosomal RNA
Source: RNAcentral
UGAGCAAUCUGCCCUUCUCAUCGGAAUAAGCGUUGGAAACGACGUCUAAUGCCGAAUACGACCUCCUUUCGCAUGAUCGGAGGUGGAAAGCUCCGGCGGUGAAGGAUGAGCUCGCGGCCUAUCAGCUAGUUGGUGCGGGUAACGCCCACCAAGGCGACGACGGGUAGCCGGCCUGAGAGGGUGACCGGCCUCACUGGGACUGAGACACGGCCCAGACCUCCUACGGGAGGNAGCG